AGGGGGGGGCGCGGGGCCGGGGCCCGGCCGCCGUUCCCGCCGCAGCGCCCCGCGGUCAGGCCGGGCUCCGCCGCAGCGCGGCGGCUGCCGGAGCCCCCGGUGCUGGAGCGGGGCCGGCGCGGCGGGAAUGUCGCUGCCCUGGGCCGUCCCGGGAGCCUCCGGGCUGGCAGAGCGCCGGGAGGGGAGGCGGGGGUGGCCGCCGGCGUGAGGCGAUGCGCUGCGGGGCUGCCGUUUGGGGGGUUUGCUGCCGUUGUAGAGGAAAAGGGAGGUGUUAGGUGUGGGUGAGAGGCGGGGGGAGCGGGGCACUGGGGGCCCCUCAGAGCUCCCCCGCAAACACGCUGCGUGGUGCCAGUUGGAGUCUCCAACCCGUGCCUCAGCCUCCAAUAAGUCAAGCAGGGAAACUCCUCUCUCUUCCUUCCUCUAGGUCCCUCGUCUAGAUGAUCGUAUCUGCAGGAUUGCAACUUUAUUUUUUUGUGUGUGUGCCUUUUCCAAUGCACAACGGUAGCAUUAGCGCCUUAAAACAGCAGGUUUAUUGAUUUCUGUAUUUGUUACUAAUUUAAUCCUGUUCUUCGAUAUUUUAUCUUUAAGCUCUUUGCCACAGAAGUCAGGGUAGACAUUGCCAACACCACUUUUGUCUCACAGACCUCGGCUAUUUAACCCCGUUGGCAGCGAACGCCAGGAUAUUUAGGUGGUUUUUGAGCAUUAACGACUGCAUCAUCACAAAGCUCUUCUCAGUCCAAAACGCUACUUGCAGCCAAGAGAAGCAGAGGUAUCCUCCAGCUCAAGUCCAGAGCAACGUUCAAAGCACACCUUUGUGAUCGGGAUACUGUUCUCUGCUGCAUCACAGAGGAUUAAACAUUCAAGAAAACUAAACACGCUUGUCUCCCUUCUCCCAUGUUUGCCUUUGACUAGAGGAAAAGUUUUCUAUUAAGUGACUCAAGCUGUGGAAAACCUCAAGCACCCUGAGCACCGUACUGUGAUUUAUGAUUCCCAAAAUCUUGAUCCUGAUACCAGAGAUGAGAAACUUGGGUCUGCUUUGAGAAAAUGAUUUGCUCUUAUGCUAAGCUCAAUCGAAUUGUUGACACUGACAUUAAGUAAACAUAGUAAGGUGUAAUUACAUUUUACACUGAUCUAUGAAAUAUUCAUGUAAUAAUAACGAAAACAUACAUGCAAUCAUACAAUAUCAUCAUCAUAAACUGUGGUCAAAUACAUAUGAUAUUUGCAAUCCUUAUACCUUGUUCAUAUAAAUAAAUAUUCAUUAGAACUGAAACUAAUUACUGUAUGGUCGAUGACAGCUGAGAAUAUUAAGCGCUGCUACUGAAUUAUGCCUUCAAAGGCAAUU
Non-coding RNA from Phalacrocorax carbo (great cormorant), 1342 nucleotides. The record is from RefSeq and is a predicted model, not a curated record. NCBI's taxonomy places the organism in Eukaryota, Metazoa, Chordata, Aves, Suliformes, Phalacrocoracidae.